UCUAAUAUGGCAGAUUAGUGCAUUAGAUUUAAGCUCUAAAUAUAGAGAUUACCCUUCUAUUAGAA
This 65-nucleotide transfer RNA is filed under the name Jivarus ronderosi. Its description in RNAcentral is "tRNA-Leu". It matches the Rfam family "tRNA". From Rfam's summary of the family: Transfer RNA (tRNA) molecules are approximately 80 nucleotides in length. Their secondary structure includes four short double-helical elements and three loops (D, anti-codon, and T loops). Further hydrogen bonds mediate the characteristic L-shaped molecular structure. tRNAs have two regions of fundamental functional importance: the anti-codon, which is responsible for specific mRNA codon recognition, and the 3' end, to which the tRNAs corresponding amino acid is attached (by aminoacyl-tRNA synthetases). tRNAs cope with the degeneracy of the genetic code in two manners: having more than one tRNA (with a specific anti-codon) for a particular amino acid; and 'wobble' base-pairing, i.e. permitting non-standard base-pairing at the 3rd anti-codon position. The record is from RNAcentral. Lineage: Eukaryota; Metazoa; Arthropoda; Insecta; Orthoptera; Acrididae.